AUGUACGUGGUGAAGCGCGACGGGCGGCAGGAGGCCGUCCACUUCGACAAGAUCACGGCGCGGCUCAAGAAGCUCGCCUACGGCCUCAGCCAGGACCACUGCGACCCCGUCCUCGUCGCGCAGAAGGUCUGCGCCGGCGUCUACAGGGGCGUCACCACCUCCCAGCUCGACGAGCUCGCCGCCGAGACCGCCGCCGCCAUGACCGCAUCCCACCCCGACUACGCAUCGCUCGCGGCCAGGAUCGCCGUCUCCAACCUGCACAAGAACACCAUGAAGUCCUUCUCAGAGACGGUGAAGGUCAUGUACACGCAUUUCAACGAGAGGUCUGGGCUGAUGGCUCCCCUGAUCGCUGAUGAUGUCUAUGAGAUCAUGAUGAAGAAUGCUACACGCCUGGACAGUGAGAUAAUUUAUGAUAGAGACUUCGACUACGAUUUCUUUGGUUUUAAGACGCUUGAGAGGUCUUAUUUACUGAAAGUUGGUGGGAAGGUUGUGGAAAGACCACAACAUAUGUUAAUGAGGGUUUCUGUUGGGAUACACAAGGAUGAUAUUGAGUCUGCUGUCAAAACAUACCACAUGAUGUCUCAGCGCUGGUUUACUCAUGCUUCCCCAACCCUUUUCAAUGCUGGCACUCCAAGGCCUCAAUUAAGCAGCUGCUUUCUUGUCUGCAUGAAAGACGAUAGCAUUGAGGGAAUUUAUGAUACUCUCUCGGAAUGCGCUUCCAUAAGCAAAUCUGCUGGAGGGAUUGGUGUCUCAAUUCACAACGUUCGGGCUACUGGCAGUUACAUUCGUGGAACUAAUGGAACUUCUAAUGGAAUUGUACCCAUGCUACGUGUUUUCAAUGACACUGCACGCUAUGUUGAUCAAGGCGGAGGCAAGAGAAAAGGUGCAUUUGCUAUAUACUUGGAGCCUUGGCAUGCUGAUAUUUAUGAGUUCCUUGAUUUGAGAAAGAACCAUGGAAAGGAGGAGAAUCGUGCCAGGGAUCUUUUUUAUGCUCUCUGGAUUCCUGAUUUAUUCAUGGAAAGGGUGCAAAAAAAUGAGCAAUGGUCAUUAUUUUGUCCCAGUGAAGCUCCAGGUUUGGCUGAUUGCUGGGGAGAUGAGUUUCAGAAUCUGUACAACAAAUAUGAAAGAGAAGGCAAAGCGAAGAAAAUUGUUUCAGCACAGUCCCUCUGGUUUGAAAUUUUGAAAGCACAGAUAGAAACUGGAACACCAUAUAUGCUUUAUAAGGACAGUUGCAACAGAAAAAGUAAUCAACAAAAUCUGGGCACAAUUAAGUCUUCCAACUUGUGCACAGAGAUAGUUGAGUUCACAAGUCCCGAUGAAACUGCUGUGUGCAAUCUGGCAUCAAUUGCUUUGCCACGUUUUGUAAGAGAAAAGGGUGUUCCGUUAGAGUCCCAUCCAGCUAAGCUUGUUGGCAGCAUUGGGUCAAAAAAUAGAUACUUCGACUUUGAUAAAUUAGCUGAGAUUACUUCAAUUGUUACAUGGAAUCUCAACAAAAUAAUUGAUAUCAACUACUACCCCAUUGAGACAGCAAGGAGGUCAAAUAUGAGGCACAGGCCAAUUGGAAUAGGUGUUCAAGGCUUAGCAGACACUUUUAUUUUACUUGGCAUGCCAUUCGAUUCACCAGAGGCCCAGCAGUUAAACAAGGAUAUCUUUGAGACUAUCUAUUAUCAUGCAUUGAAAGCUUCUGCUGAAAUUGCCGCAAAAGAAGGCCCUUAUGAAACUUAUGAUGGGUGCCCAGUCAGCAAGGGCAUUCUUCAACCUGAUAUGUGGAAUGUAGUGCCAUCAGACAGAUGGGACUGGCCAGCUAUACGGGGGAUGAUUUCCAAAGUUGGGUUAAGGAACUCUCUUCUUGUGGCUCCAAUGCCCACUGCUUCUACUAGUCAAAUUCUUGGCAACAAUGAGUGCUUUGAACCAUACACGUCAAACAUUUACAGUCGAAGAGUUCUAAGUGGUGAGUUUGUUGUAGUGAACAAGCAUCUCCUCCAUGAUCUGACUGAGAUGGGUAUCUGGUCUCCUGUGCUGAAAAACAAUAUUAUCUACGACGAUGGCUCUGUCCAAAAGAUUACUGAGAUCCCAGAUGAUCUGAAAGCAAUUUACAAGACUGUUUGGGAGAUCAAGCAGAAAACUGUUGUUGACAUGGCCGUCGAUCGUGGCUGCUACAUCGAUCAAAGUCAGAGCCUCAAUAUCCACAUGGAUCAAGCAAACUCUGGGAAGCUAACUUCCCUGCACUUCCACGCUUGGUCCAAGGGCCUGAAAACAGGGAUGUACUAUCUGAGGACACGUGCUGCUGCGGAUGCGAUCAAAUUCACAGUGGACACUAGUCUUCUCAAGGAUAAGAAGCCUGCGAAUGCCGAGGAGGAAGAGGAUCUCCAGGCCAAGAUGGCGCAGGUGACCUGCUCCCUGAACAACCGUGAGGACUGCUUGUCAUGUGGAAGCUAG
This 2439-nucleotide ribosomal RNA is filed under the name Triticum aestivum (bread wheat). RNAcentral's name for it is "partial small subunit ribosomal RNA". Lineage: Eukaryota; Viridiplantae; Streptophyta; Magnoliopsida; Poales; Poaceae. The record is from RNAcentral.